AACAAAUAUAGUAUCUGAAAUCUAAAGAAAAAGGUAGAGUGAACAAUAUAGCAAAAGCAUCAUCCAAAUUAAUCUCACAGAAGAUAGAGAAUAAAAAACUACUAAACAAAACCAAAAAGAAAAAUAAAAUAAGCCCAAACAAAAAAAUUAAUGGGCAUAUGGUUUUAAGCACAUCAAGUGACACUGAGAUUUUGCUUAGUUAAGAUUUCAUCCUAGAUCAAGAAAUAACAGAGGCUACACAUAUAUUACAUGAUUCCAUGCAAAAAAGUUUGCACUACCAUGACCAAUAUUCAGUGUCAUUCAAACUCAAGCAUAGGGCAAGAAUGACGAAUUUCAUAAAACAACUUCCUUACACCUCUUCAACUUAAAAGUCUCAAAUGCACUUAACACCUGAGUAUUGCAUCCAUCAUGGGAG
RNAcentral lists this unclassified non-coding RNA (415 nucleotides) under Hevea brasiliensis (rubber tree). The record is from RNAcentral. Lineage: Eukaryota; Viridiplantae; Streptophyta; Magnoliopsida; Malpighiales; Euphorbiaceae.